Molecule: ribosomal RNA, 460 nt
Filed under: uncultured bacterium
Lineage: Bacteria
Description: partial 16S ribosomal RNA
Rfam family: Bacterial small subunit ribosomal RNA
Source: RNAcentral
CCUACGGGGUGCAGCAGUGAGGAAUAUUGGUCAAUGGACGAGAGUCUGAACCAGCCAAGUAGCGUGAAGGAUGACUGCCCUAUGGGUUGUAAACUUCUUUUAUAAAGGAAUAAAACGAGGCACGUGUGCCUUUUUGCAUGUACUUUAUGAAUAAGGAUCGGCUAACUCCGUGCCAGCAGCCGCGGUAAUACGGAGGAUCCGAGCGUUAUCCGGAUUUAUUGGGUUUAAAGGGAGCGGAGAUGGGUUGUUAAGUCAGUUGUGAAAGUUUGCGGCUCAACCGUAAAAUUGCAAUUGAUACUGGCAGUCGUGAGUACAGUUGAGGUAGGCGGAAUUCGUGGUGUAGCGGUGAAAUGCUUAGAUAUCACGAAGAACCCCGAUUGCGAAGGCAGCUUACUAAACUGUGACUGACAUUGAUGCUCGAAAGUGUGGGUAUCAAACAGGAUUAGAUACCCGAGUAGUC